Long non-coding RNA from Salmo salar (Atlantic salmon), 864 nucleotides. RefSeq lists it as uncharacterized. NCBI's taxonomy places the organism in Eukaryota, Metazoa, Chordata, Actinopteri, Salmoniformes, Salmonidae. The record is from RefSeq and is a predicted model, not a curated record.
GAGAGCAUACAUGUACCUGAUUCUACAGAGUAAAACAUACCCCUCUAGUCAUAGGGUUGCAUUCCAAAUGGCAGGGCCUGGUUAAAAAGUAGUGCACUAUUCUUGGGGAGAUAGGGUGUCAUUGGGGACAUGGCUAUGGAGUGGGUUGGUGAACUGAUAGUGUGAUUAUACAGCGGUUACUCCAGUACACUGCUGUGUCCGUAGGGGAGUUGACAGGACUGUGUAAAGAGACCAAAGGGUGGACUAUUAGAGGAGGACGUUGAUGUUUACGGCUAAUCUAUCAGCACAGCGUUGAGUGAGGUUCACACAUACAAACCAGCAAGAUGAAGAUGGUGAUGUUGGCAGUGGCUCUGGCCCUGCUGUUGGCUAGUGGUGAAGCCCUGGACUGUCUACGCUGUGUGCCAACUAAGGCAGGAAGAGACUGUGAGGUGACAGUAGAAACCUGCCCCCCAGAGAAGGAUGGCUGUGCAGCCGCCAGGUUCCUCAGAUCACCAUUUGGCCAUUUCCAGAGAUGCAUGGACAUGUCGGGCUGUAAGCUGUUCCAAACCAAUGCUUACAUCAACAUGAAGUGCUGUGGCACUGACAAGUGCAACACAUUCUAGAAUCUAUAUACUGGUUAACGUUCUAGAAUCUAUUUACUGGUUCACAUUCUAGAAUCUAUAUACUGGUUAACGUUCUAGAAUCUAUAUACUGGUUAACGUUCUAGAAUCUAUAUACUGGUUCACAUUCUAGACCAGGGGUAUUCAAAUGAUUCCCUGGAGGUCUGGAGUACUGCUGGUUUCCUAUUCUACCUGAUAAUUCAUUGUUCCCACCUGGUGUCUAAAUCAGUGCCUGAUUAGAAAUGAAAUAAAAUAAUAAACAGUG